CGGGUGAGUAGCACGUAUCCAACCUGCCGUCUACUCUUGGACAGCCUUCUGAAAGGAAGAUUAAUACAAGAUGGCAUCAUGAGUCCGCAUGUUCACAUGAUUAAAGGUAUUCCGGUAGACGAUGGGGAUGCGUUCCAUUAGAUAGUAGGCGGGGUAACGGCCCACCUAGUCUUCGAUGGAUAGGGGUUCUGAGAGGAAGGUCCCCCACAUUGGAACUGAGACACGGUCCAA
This 231-nucleotide ribosomal RNA is filed under the name uncultured bacterium. RNAcentral describes it as "partial 16S ribosomal RNA". It matches the Rfam family "Bacterial small subunit ribosomal RNA", at positions 103 to 334 of the family's 1533-position model. The record is from RNAcentral.